This 1881-nucleotide long non-coding RNA is filed under the name Canis lupus familiaris (dog). Its description in RNAcentral is "lncRNA (ENSCAFG00845014572.1)". Lineage: Eukaryota; Metazoa; Chordata; Mammalia; Carnivora; Canidae. The record is from RNAcentral.
GGUGUACAAGGUGAAGAUGCCAUAGAAGUCUACUGCUCGGUACUCAUGACUACUUAUGUCAAGUGCAGCAGAAAAACGAUGAACUUGACAUUCAAAAAAAUUUUUUUUUCUGUUUUUUGUGCUUGUUGGAGGGUACUUUUUGGAGAGAAGGCAUGGAGGAUAGGACAGGCUUAUGGGACUGCGCUGGGGGCCAGGAGGGGAGGAAGCAGGUUGACAGGGCUCAGCUCUACAGCUGGGGAGGGCCCCACAGCCUCAGAGAGACCUCCGCGGGGGAGCCAGGACCUGGGGGCGCCCAGCUUCCUCCUGACAUUUCCCCAAAGCCACUGCUGGAUGGCGAGGUGACCCCCCCUCCCGGCCUGGGAUUCAGGAUCCCACUGAGGGUCUGACAGCCAGAACUCCCGGAAAAGGGUGGAGCCAGAAGAGCCCGGCCCCAGCUCCCCCCGCCCGCCCGGUGGUCACAGGAUGCAGGGGGAGAAUCUGGUGGCCAUGGGGUUAGUGGCUCCAGAUGUCACCUCGCUGAGGGAAACCUGACGCUAGUGGGUGAGUGAGGGGGGACCAGGCCGGGGAGGCACCAAAGGGGUCGGCCUCAGAGGGCAGGGGCUGGGGAGGGCAGGCCAGAGACUGAGGCUGGGGCACCCCGCAGGGCCACCAUCCCCAGGAGCCAUGAGAGCCGCGCCUGUCCUGUGGCUGGCCGUCCUGCUGUGCCAGGAGCGAGCGCGGAGCCUGCUGUGCUACACCUGCCCCGGGGCGCCCAGCGACAGCCUGUGCCCGCCCACCCAGUGCCUGAGGCCUGGCAUCUGCUUCGACAGUAACAUAACCACGACCUCGAGCGGUGGUGAGUCCCCAGCACCCAGAGCCCGGGGGCAGCUCGGGGAGCUGUGCUUGAGGCUCCCCCAGCCAAUCAGAGGAGUGUGGGUUUGGCAGGGACUAGGGUCCCGCCUGCCUCAGUGUCCCCAUCCACGCAGAGGGGCUGGCCUUCCUGGGGAGCCGAUGGGACUGCACAGAGGAUUGGGGGGCCAUGCGCCCCAGGGAGUGGGUGACCCAGGAUGACUCCAGGAGGGUGGGAGGGCACCUCUCACACCGGGGCUCCUUGCCCACAGGAAUGCAGGUGAGGUCAAAGUACAAGGGGUGUGCUCCCUCCUGCAAGGAAGCUAAGGAGACCCUGCAGUGGAUUUUCCGGAUGAGUAGCCUGGACCAGCUGGACCAGCUGGACCCCAGCCUACCCAAGUCUGAACUGCAGAGUUUGACGUGCUGUGAAAAGGACCUCUGUAAUAGGGGGGCGCAGGCCCUGGGCCCCUGCGGGGGGCUGCUGCUCAGCCUAGCACCCGCCUCCCUCUGGGCCCUGCUGUGAGCAGCCCUGACCCCAGCACAGAGGGCAGACUUCCACGCAGCGUGCACACGAAGCAAGCUCGCUGCCCCGCACACUCACGCACUCGCAAGCGCACACGCGGACACUGCAGACCCUGUAGACCCUCAGCCGCUCCCGCCCAACCUCCCUGGCACCCAGUGCCCUGCUAGGCCAACAGGCCUGUCCCCCUUUGCAGACACCAUCAGUUAACCACUGACCCAAGAUGCAGAGCCUGUCGCGCCCUGGCCCUGACCAGACGUGACCUCUAGGACAGCAAAGCCCACAGCCCAGCCCGGGGACGGCCAACACUGUGCCAGCCGGGGCCGGAGAGAAUAAACACUUUCGACAUCGUCCUGUUCUUGGCUUGCAGUUCUGCCCCACGAGGGGAGGGUGGGUGGCGCCUGGGGCCUGCCUGGGAGGGGGACUUCCCUACCUCUUGGUUUUCCCUCAGCCAGGGGGGGCGCCCAUGGCCCCAGGGUCUAGGAGCAGUGGUCAAUUCUGGAGCCCCCCCCUCCCGCGAGGCACAGUAGGGU